Molecule: ribosomal RNA, 416 nt
Filed under: uncultured bacterium
Lineage: Bacteria
Description: bacterial SSU rRNA
Rfam family: Bacterial small subunit ribosomal RNA
Source: RNAcentral
UGGGGAAUAUUGCACAAUGGGGGAAACCCUGAUGUAGCGACGCCGCGUGGAGGAAGAAGGUCUUCGGAUUGUAAACUCCUGUUGUUGAGGAAAAAGAGGAUGGUACUCAACAAGGAAGUGAUGGCUAACUACGUGCCAGCAGCCGCGGUAAAACGUAGGUCACAAGCGUUGUCCGGAAUUACUGGGUGUAAAGGGAGCGCAGGCGGGUAUGCUAGUUGGGAGUGAAAUACAUGGGCUCAACCCAUGAACUGCUCUCAAAACUGUGUAUCUUGAGUAGUGCAGAGGUAGGCGGAAUUCCCGGUGUAGCGGUGGAAUGCGUAGAUAUCGGGAGGAACACCAGUGGCGAAGGCGGCCUACUGGGCACCAACUGACGCUGAGGCUCGAAAGUGUGGGUAGCAAACAGGAUUAGAUACCCG